Hemiscyllium ocellatum (epaulette shark) is the source of this 3704-nucleotide long non-coding RNA. RefSeq lists it as uncharacterized. The record is from RefSeq and is a predicted model, not a curated record. The transcript has 2 exons. Lineage: Eukaryota; Metazoa; Chordata; Chondrichthyes; Orectolobiformes; Hemiscylliidae.
GCUGGUCUAAUCAACUUUAAAGUCAACAAACGAAUGUAAUUCUACACCACGCUGCUGCAACGACAAUCCUAAAUUGCAAUAUCUAGGAAAGGUCCUUCCGGAUUUGCACCUGGUUUGAGCCAAUCUAUGGGCAGCUCUGGUGAAGAGUCAUCGAGACUCCAAACGUAAGCUUGCUGUCCGACCCGUUGUGAUCUUCAAUAUCGAUUGCAGCAUCUGCAGUUAUUUGUUCCUACAGAGAAAAAGGAAAGGGGAAAACAAAACCACUCCAAUUGGACUGCAUUUACUGAGCUCCGAAGCUUGCAAAAAUAAUCAUUGCAGUCGUAUCUCAGCGCUGACAGGAGUGCAUGCCAUCAUUCCAACGGCCUGGCAGUCGUUAUUCCGGCGAAGCUGGGAAUUGUUUAUCGGGACCCUCCAGAAUCCCCAUCGUGGCAUAAACUGAAGAAAUCGCCUAUGAGGUCGAAUUUUUCCGUGGGUAAUUCACCACGCCUGGACCCUCCGAUGGCUCCGUUUAAUUAUUAAUUCGAAGGGUUCCGAUGAGAUUUGGGGAAAUGUUGAGAUUUUUCAAACUCUUGAGAAACUAUUUAACUCACCAACUACCAGUCCCUGUCAAUCCCUAACUUGUCCCGCAAGGAGAGAUCUCUUUGAAACUUAACAGGAUAAGACUCAUAGAGUUGUAUACAACGGAAACAGACCCUUCCAUCCAACUCGGCCAUCUUAAAUUAACCUCGUCCCAUUUACCAGCACUUGGUCCAUAUCCCUCUAAGCCCUUCCUAUUCAUAACCAUCCAGGUGCCUUUUAAAUGUUGCAAUUGUACUAGCCUAAAUUGUACUAGCCCUCCUGAUGGAGGGCUUAUGCCCGAAACCUCGAAUCUCCUAUUCCUUGGAUGCUGCCUAACCUGCUGUGCUUUAACCAGCAACACAUUUUCAAUUGUACUAGCCUAUACCACUUCCUCUGGCAGCUCAUUCCAGACAUGCAUCACUUUCUGUGUGAAAAAGUUGCCCUUUAGUACCCUUUUAAAUCUUUCCCUUCUCACCUUAAACUAUGCUCUCUAGUUUUGGAUUGUCCGACCCCUGGGAAAAAGUCCUUGGCUAUUCACUCUGUUCAUGCCCCUCAUGAUUUUAUAAAACUCUGUAAGGUCACUCCUCCACCUCCGACACUCAGGAAAAUAGCUACAUUCUAUUUAGCCUCUCCCUAUAGCUCAAAUCCUCCAAUCCGGCAACAUCCUUAUAAAUCUUUUCUGCGCUCUUUCAAGUUUAACCACACCUUUUCUACAACACAAAGACCUGAACUUAAUGCAGUAUUUCAUAACUGACCAAUACUGAGAAGCCUGGAUAACUUGGACGAAGAGAAGAUGUUUCCACUGGUAGGAGAGACUAGGACGCAAGGGCACAGCCUCAGAAUGAAGGAAUGACUCCUUAGAGAGGAUGAGUUUCUUCAGCCAGAGGAUAGUCAGUCUGUUGAACUCAUUGCCAUAGAAGGCUGUGGAGGCCAAGUCACUGAGUGUAUUUAAGGCAGAGAUAAAUAGGUUCUUGAUUGGCAAGGGGAUCAAAAGUUACAGGGUGAAGCAGGAGUCUGGGACUUAGAAAUAUAUCAGCUAUGAUCAAAAGACAGAGCAGAUUCACUGGGCGAAAUGGGAUAAUUUUACUCCUAUACCUCGUGGUCUUAAUAGUCUUCCUUUGUGUUGGACAAAAAUUAUACAAAGUACCUUAUCAGUUUCAAACUCAUGGGCUCAUGGUCUUUCACUCCUGUUUGCCAGAAGCCAUUGAUAUACAGGACACCUUCGAAGUCCUAAUGCACUACAAUAAUUGCCUGGAAAGUUUAAUUCUCCCAGCUCUGAGUUAAAGUCAGAGACUUAAAAGGGUUACAGCUACCUUACAGUUAGCCUGGAAAAGCUGGAGUAUUAAAACCUGCUCUCACUGGACUCCAGACUCCAUGAAUACUUGACCCCACCAACUGAACACUUCCCCUUGAUAGAUAGCUACCCACCCAAAAUACAACUCUAUGAUAUCUGACCCAGCUUAAUCCCCACCCAAAUAACUGCAAACUAUCCCCUCACAAUUCAUCCAUUUAACUGCUAUCGUUACCCUAUCUUUCACCGUCCCCCCUCACCCUCCCAGCUCUACCUGCUUAGGCACCUCCCUCUGUGGCUUGUCAAAGUACCUUUGAGACAUUUAAACCGUAGAAUUACUGCUGUAGAAAGGAUUUGAUUUGGCAUCCUACACUUCGCUAGAAGGCUUUCUGAUCAUUUCCACCUUUCUGAAGAGGCCCAAAUCGGAAGUUUUAGCCAGAAAUGUGGAACUCUUGGCAGGUUAAGUGAGAAAGCUGUCAUUGCCACUCCCUUGAAGAUUUGGCUCUUUAUUGAGAAUGUAUAUUGAUUGUACAAAGUGUGUCAUUUGGAUUUUUACCAAACCAGACAGAUCAUUGCUAAUCCAAAAAUUAACUUGACAAUUUUUGUUUUAUAUCCAUUUCUUCAGUAUCCAGUUUAAAAAAACCUCACUUAUUCACCAUUGUCCAAAUUCAAUUAACUAUCUGUUAUAACUGAGUUGCAAGGAGUCUGUCUUUCUCUAAUCUCACUAUUUCCACCAGUUACAACUUACAUUUACAUAAACUGCAAAAAAUAUUACCAUUGAAUCUCUUUCCACAGAAUCUGCCAGAUCUGUUGAGUUUGUCUGGUAUUUUCUGUAUUUGUUGCAUAUUUCUAACAUCCACUGUAUUUUUUUACACAUAAUUGUUUUUAAUUGUUUUAUUCAAUUCCCAAUAUGGCCAAUCAUACACCUUUUCCAUAUUAGACAAAAAGAUCUAUUAAGCAGACUCCUUUAAUGAAGAAAAUUAUAAUUGAUUUAUUGUAAAACAAAACUUAUUAAAGUAAAUACAAUAUUGGCUAAUACAUUCAGUUUAUAUCAUGAACAUUUACAAGUUUUCCCAUCUAUAUAUCUCAGUAUAUAAAUAUGCAGCUCUGAUAAAAGUGAGAUAAAAAUAUCUGUACAGAUUCACUUUUUAGGAAUAAAUAAUUUUGCCUAGUAAGUUUUUCAGGCAAAAAAAAGGGAUAAAAGUUUGAAAUGUUCAGAUGGCUGCAGGUCGAAUGAUCUAGCAUAGAAAGGUGGAUGUUGCUGACACGUAUGGGUGUCUCUGGAGAUCUUUGCAAAUGCAGUCAUUCAGGAAAUAUUGUCAAUCUCUUCCAGAGGAUUCCCUUCCAAAAGCAGCUGCAGCAAGGCUCCAGACACCACACAGGGCCCACAAAAAGGAUUCAUUUUCCAGACACAGGAGAAAUGAGCUGAUUUCUUACUUUCAACAGGCUUCUCUUCAACUGCUACAAACAUUUUCUAAAACAGUCACAAACCCUGCAUGUGGUCUCCACUACACAAGCAGUUAUUACAAGAAAUAAGACCACCAAAAAAGUGUUAUUCUACUGUCUUUUCAUUGACUUGUUAAAAUCAAUUCCAAAUAUCCACAAUCAUUCACAUUCAAGUCCACAAUAUUAAUAAAUAUAUAGCUUUGAUAGCAUAUCACACUGGACACCAUCCAGUUCACUAUCCUUAAAUAGACACACUUCUUCCUCGAAUCAUUCUUGUUGAUAGCUGAAAUAAAAAUUUUAAAACUGUAAAUAGGAAUUGCUGCUAAUCAACAGAAAGUAUUAAACUUUGACCAAGUUGAUGUUUUUUGAAUGUGAUCUUUACAUUGCUGAUAAAGAAGUUGAUCAUUGA